UUAAUAUUAUAUAUUACAUUUAAUUUUUAUUUAAAACUUGAUUAUUUUUCACUUAAUUAACUAAUUGAUAUAUAUAUUUUAAUUUUUUUAUAUAAGAAAAAAUGACGGUAAUUACUCAAAUUUUACACAACAGUAAAAAUCAGAAUUCGACCCUUAAUAUAACCGUCCAACCUAACAAUAUUGACAUUCUUAAUUAAACUAGGAUAAAC
RNAcentral lists this long non-coding RNA (209 nucleotides) under Lathyrus oleraceus (garden pea). RNAcentral's name for it is "Pisum sativum (pea) long non-coding RNA (PSAT_LNC012588)". Lineage: Eukaryota; Viridiplantae; Streptophyta; Magnoliopsida; Fabales; Fabaceae. The record is from RNAcentral.